RNAcentral lists this ribosomal RNA (395 nucleotides) under uncultured bacterium. RNAcentral describes it as "partial 16S ribosomal RNA". It matches the Rfam family "Bacterial small subunit ribosomal RNA", at positions 523 to 917 of the family's 1533-position model. The record is from RNAcentral.
AUACGUAGGGGGCAAGCGUUAUCCGGAUUUACUGGGUGUAAAGGGAGUGUAGGUGGUCUGGCAAGUCAGAUGUGAAAGCCCGCGGCUCAACUGCGGGACUGCAUUUGGAACUGUCAGACUGGAGUGCAGGAGAGGAAAGUGGAAUUCCUAGUGUAGCGGUGAAAUGCGUAGAUAUUAGGAAGAACACCAGUGGCGAAGGCGGCGUUCUGGACUGUAACUGACACUGAGGCGCGAAAGCGUGGGGAGCAAACAGGAUUAGAUACCCUGGUAGUCCACGCUGUAAACGAUGAAUACUAGGUGUGGGGGGACUGACCCCCUCCGUGCCGCAGUUAACACAAUAAGUAUUCCACCUGGGGAGUACGAUCGCAAGAUUGAGACUCAAAUGAAUUGGCGGG